RNAcentral lists this ribosomal RNA (2932 nucleotides) under Klebsiella aerogenes. RNAcentral describes it as "bacterial LSU rRNA". It matches the Rfam family "Bacterial large subunit ribosomal RNA". Lineage: Bacteria; Pseudomonadati; Pseudomonadota; Gammaproteobacteria; Enterobacterales; Enterobacteriaceae. The record is from RNAcentral.
GGGUUGUGAGGUUAAGCGACUAAGCGUACACGGUGGAUGCCCUGGCAGUCAGAGGCGAUGAAGGACGUGCUAAUCUGCGAAAAGCGUCGGUAAGGUGAUAUGAACCGUUACAGCCGGCGAUGUCCGAAUGGGGAAACCCAGUGCAAUUCGUUGCACUAUCGUUAACUGAAUACAUAGGUUAACGAGGCGAACCGGGGGAACUGAAACAUCUAAGUACCCCGAGGAAAAGAAAUCAACCGAGAUUCCCCCAGUAGCGGCGAGCGAACGGGGAGCAGCCCAGAGUCUGAAUCAGCUUGUGUGUUAGUGGAACGGUCUGGAAAGUCCGACGGUACAGGGUGAUAGUCCCGUACACCAAAAUGCACAGGCUGUGAACUCGAAGAGUAGGGCGGGACACGUGGUAUCCUGUCUGAAUAUGGGGGGACCAUCCUCCAAGGCUAAAUACUCCUGACUGACCGAUAGUGAACCAGUACCGUGAGGGAAAGGCGAAAAGAACCCCGGCGAGGGGAGUGAAAAAGAACCUGAAACCGUGUACGUACAAGCAGUGGGAGCACCUUCGGGUGUGACUGCGUACCUUUUGUAUAAUGGGUCAGCGACUUAUAUUCUGUAGCAAGGUUAACCGUAUAGGGGAGCCGCAGGGAAACCGAGUCUUAACUGGGCGUUAAGUUGCAGGGUAUAGACCCGAAACCCGGUGAUCUAGCCAUGGGCAGGUUGAAGGUUGGGUAACACUAACUGGAGGACCGAACCGACUAAUGUUGAAAAAUUAGCGGAUGACUUGUGGCUGGGGGUGAAAGGCCAAUCAAACCGGGAGAUAGCUGGUUCUCCCCGAAAGCUAUUUAGGUAGCGCCUCGUGAACUCAUCUUCGGGGGUAGAGCACUGUUUCGGCUAGGGGGUCAUCCCGACUUACCAACCCGAUGCAAACUACGAAUACCGAAGAAUGUUAUCACGGGAGACACACGGCGGGUGCUAACGUCCGUCGUGAAGAGGGAAACAACCCAGACCGCCAGCUAAGGUCCCAAAGUCACAGUUAAGUGGGAAACGAUGUGGGAAGGCACAGACAGCCAGGAUGUUGGCUUAGAAGCAGCCAUCAUUUAAAGAAAGCGUAAUAGCUCACUGGUCGAGUCGGCCUGCGCGGAAGAUGUAACGGGGCUAAACUGUGCACCGAAGCUGCGGCAGCGACACUAUGUGUUGUUGGGUAGGGGAGCGUUCUGUAAGCCUGCGAAGGUGGCCUGUGAGGGUUGCUGGAGGUAUCAGAAGUGCGAAUGCUGACAUAAGUAACGAUAAUGCGGGUGAAAAGCCCGCACGCCGGAAGACCAAGGGUUCCUGUCCAACGUUAAUCGGGGCAGGGUGAGUCGACCCCUAAGGCGAGGCCGAAAGGCGUAGUCGAUGGGAAACAGGUUAAUAUUCCUGUACUUGGUGUUACUGCGAAGGGGGGACGGAGAAGGCUAUGUUAGCCGGGCGACGGUUGUCCCGGUUUAAGCAUGUAGGCGGAGGUUCCAGGUAAAUCCGGUACCUUUUUAACGCUGAGGUGUGAUGACGAGGCACUACGGUGCUGAAGUAACAAAUGCCCUGCUUCCAGGAAAAGCCUCUAAGCAUCAGGUAACAUUGAAUCGUACCCCAAACCGACACAGGUGGUCAGGUAGAGAAUACCAAGGCGCUUGAGAGAACUCGGGUGAAGGAACUAGGCAAAAUGGUGCCGUAACUUCGGGAGAAGGCACGCUGAUAUGUAGGUGAAGCCCCUGCGGGUGGAGCUGAAAUCAGUCGAAGAUACCAGCUGGCUGCAACUGUUUAUUAAAAACACAGCACUGUGCAAACACGAAAGUGGACGUAUACGGUGUGACGCCUGCCCGGUGCCGGAAGGUUAAUUGAUGGGGUUAUCCGUAAGGAGAAGCUCUUGAUCGAAGCCCCGGUAAACGGCGGCCGUAACUAUAACGGUCCUAAGGUAGCGAAAUUCCUUGUCGGGUAAGUUCCGACCUGCACGAAUGGCGUAAUGAUGGCCAGGCUGUCUCCACCCGAGACUCAGUGAAAUUGAACUCGCUGUGAAGAUGCAGUGUACCCGCGGCAAGACGGAAAGACCCCGUGAACCUUUACUAUAGCUUGACACUGAACAUUGAGCCUUGAUGUGUAGGAUAGGUGGGAGGCUUUGAAGCGUGGACGCCAGUCUGCGUGGAGCCAACCUUGAAAUACCACCCUUUAAUGUUUGAUGUUCUAACGUUGGCCCCUUAUCGGGGUUGCGGACAGUGUCUGGUGGGUAGUUUGACUGGGGCGGUCUCCUCCCAAAGAGUAACGGAGGAGCACGAAGGUUAGCUAAUCCUGGUCGGACAUCAGGAGGUUAGUGCAAUGGCAUAAGCUAGCUUGACUGCGAGCGUGACGGCGCGAGCAGGUGCGAAAGCAGGUCAUAGUGAUCCGGUGGUUCUGAAUGGAAGGGCCAUCGCUCAACGGAUAAAAGGUACUCCGGGGAUAACAGGCUGAUACCGCCCAAGAGUUCAUAUCGACGGCGGUGUUUGGCACCUCGAUGUCGGCUCAUCACAUCCUGGGGCUGAAGUAGGUCCCAAGGGUAUGGCUGUUCGCCAUUUAAAGUGGUACGCGAGCUGGGUUUAGAACGUCGUGAGACAGUUCGGUCCCUAUCUGCCGUGGGCGCUGGAGAAUUGAGGGGGGCUGCUCCUAGUACGAGAGGACCGGAGUGGACGCAUCACUGGUGUUCGGGUUGUCAUGCCAAUGGCAUUGCCCGGUAGCUAAAUGCGGAAGAGAUAAGUGCUGAAAGCAUCUAAGCACGAAACUUGCCCCGAGAUGAGUUCUCCCUGAGACUUUAAGUCUCCUGAAGGAACGUUAAAGACGAUGACGUUGAUAGGUCGGGUGUGUAAGCGUAGCGAUACGUUGAGCUAACCGAUACUAAUGAACCGUGAGGCUUAACCUUACAACGCCGAAGGUGUUU